RNAcentral lists this ribosomal RNA (644 nucleotides) under uncultured bacterium. Its description in RNAcentral is "bacterial SSU rRNA". It matches the Rfam family "Bacterial small subunit ribosomal RNA", at positions 187 to 851 of the family's 1533-position model. The record is from RNAcentral.
CAGAAGUAUAGAAGGGAAAGAUUUAUCGGUAAGAGAUCAGCUUGUACAGUAUCAGUUAGUUGGUGGGGUAAUGGCUUACCAAGACUAUGACGCUUAACUGGUUUGAGAGGAUGAUCAGUCACACUGGAACUGAGACACGGUCCAGACUCCUACGGGAGGCAGCAGUGGGGAAUAUUGCACAAUGGACGAAAGUCUGAUGCAGCAACGCCGCGUGGAGGAUGACACAUUUCGGUGCGUAAACUCCUUUUAUAUGAGAAGAUAAUGACGGUAUCAUAUGAAUAAGCACCGGCUAACUCCGUGCCAGCAGCCGCGGUAAUACGGGGGGUGCAAGCGUUACUCGGAAUCACUGGGCGUAAAGAGCAUGUAGGCGGAUUGAUAAGUUUGAAGUGAAAUCCUAUAGCUUAACUAUAGAACUGCUUUGAAAACUGUUAAUCUAGAAUGUGGGAGAGGUAGAUGGAAUUUCUGGUGUAGGGGUAAAAUCCGUAGAGAUCAGAAGGAAUACCGAUUGCGAAGGCGAUCUACUGGAACACUAUUGACGCUGAGAUGCGAAAGCGUGGGGAGCAAACGGGAUUAGAUACCCCGGUAGUCCACGCCCUAAACGAUGCACACUAGUUGUUGUGAGGCUAGACCUUGCAGUAAUGCAG